AUUGAACGCUGGCGGCAUGCCUUACACAUGCAAGUCGAACGGUAACAGGUCUUCGGAUGCUGACGAGUGGCGAACGGGUGAGUAAUACAUCGGAACGUGCCUAGUAGUGGGGGAUAAUUACUCGAAAGAGUGGCUAUUACCGAAUGAGAUCAACGGAUGAAAGCAGGGAACCGAAAGCCCUUGUGCUACUAGAGCGGCCGAUGGCAGAUUAGGUAGUGGGUGGGAUAAAAGCUUACCAAGCCGACGAUCUGUAGCUGGUCUGAGAGGACGAUCAGCCACACUGGGACUGAGACACGGCCCAGACUCCUACGGGAGGCAGCAGUGGGGAAUUUUGGACAAUGGGCGAAAGCCUGAUCCAGCAAUGCCGCGUGCAGGAUGAAGGCCUUCGGGUUGUAAACUGCUUUUGUACGGAACGAAAAGCCCCGGGUUAAUACCCUGGGGUCAUGACGGUACCGUAAGAAUAAGCACCGGCUAACUACGUGCCAGCCGCCGCCGUAA
Molecule: ribosomal RNA, 498 nt
Filed under: uncultured bacterium
Lineage: Bacteria
Description: partial 16S ribosomal RNA
Rfam family: Bacterial small subunit ribosomal RNA
Source: RNAcentral